Non-coding RNA from Odocoileus virginianus texanus, 828 nucleotides. NCBI's taxonomy places the organism in Eukaryota, Metazoa, Chordata, Mammalia, Artiodactyla, Cervidae. The record is from RefSeq and is a predicted model, not a curated record.
CCCACACGGGACUCCCGGUCUGUGGCGCGUUCUGAUUGGACGCGGCUUUGGCGGGAAGGUGCACGCGGGAGGCGGAGCGCAACGGGUCUCAUUCGGUCUCCUCAAACUGCCCCUCCCGCCCCUCACGCAGCCUGCAGCAGGCGUGGCCUGGUCUACGCCGCCUCACCUCGCGGUUCUCCGCCCGGAGCCUCCUGGAGUACAAAUCUGUGACCUGAAUGAGAACAACGGAAGGCCCUGGUUAACACUGAUGUCUCAGUCACUAUGAAGGCCAGCUCUGUAGGACUUCCACCUGGUUGACAUGGGGCCUCAGUGCACUGAUGCAUUGAAAGGCACCUUGAAGUUGAAGUGGCCCAUGGGAGAGAGAAGAAAGUCACACAACACAUAGUCAUUCAGAUGGUCUGAAGACGGCCAGCAGUUCUUUUUUGUACUCCACUCUGCGGGCAGCCGUCUUUAUGCAAAGCCCUGGAAGGAUGACCUUCACUGAACUGGCAAGAUCAUCAAACUCUCUGUUCACCUGGAUAUCCUGAGGAGAAACCCAUCACUAGGAAGAAUGUUAAGACUUUUUGAGAACUUGACCAUUUUACUCACACACACACAAGGUCUAGAGCCUCAUAGGGUAUCAGUUUGUCCCAAGUUUGAAGGAUUGAAACUGUAAACACAUCUCUGAACAGGCUUUGACUCAAGCCUGGGUUGAAAUCAGAGGGAAAAUGAGCAGUGAUUUGUAACUAGAGUCUUCGUGAUUUGUAUUUGGGGAUUCUCUCCUUUGUGUUUAACCACCUUAGAAAAGAGUGAUAUUUUUUCUAUAUUAAAAGGCAAAAUUGGAACUUC